RNAcentral lists this long non-coding RNA (216 nucleotides) under Mytilus galloprovincialis (Mediterranean mussel). The record is from RNAcentral. Lineage: Eukaryota; Metazoa; Mollusca; Bivalvia; Mytilida; Mytilidae.
UGUGUCAUGUGUACUAUUGUUUGUCUGUUUGUCUUUUUUUCAUAUUUAGCCAUGGCUUUGUCAGUUUAUUUUCGAUUGAUGCGUUUGACUGUCCCUCUGGUAUCUUUAGUCCCUCUUGUGUAUAAAUAUACAUAAUAGGUUAAUUUGAGCACAGUAUGUGAUGUGUACAAAUUAUAUCGGUCAGUAUAUAUUCAUUUUUUUGUUUUCCUGUCUUUU